CGGGAUGUGGCGCAGUCCGGUAGCGUACUUGCAUGGGGUGCAAGGGGUCGUGGGUUCAAAUCCCGCCAUCCCGA
RNAcentral lists this transfer RNA (74 nucleotides) under Nostoc sp. NIES-2111. RNAcentral describes it as "tRNA-Pro". It matches the Rfam family "tRNA". Rfam says of the family: Transfer RNA (tRNA) molecules are approximately 80 nucleotides in length. The record is from RNAcentral. Lineage: Bacteria; Bacillati; Cyanobacteriota; Cyanophyceae; Nostocales; Nostocaceae. RNAcentral also lists the same sequence under 1 other name.